UGAACAGGUGGGACAUCUACAGCUCCAUCAGGUGAAGCGUCUUCAGCUGUUUGGUCUCCCUUCAAAGACGUCACGCUGGAAAGCUGAGUUUUACUUUCUCAGGAGAAACGAGAAACUCAAUAGAGACUAAAAUUCCAUAUAGGAGAUGUUGGUGAAAUGCUACUUCUCCACACCAUUCCAGUCGAAGUUAUGAGUGAAGCUUAACUGUUGCCAUUGCAUGUGUGACAAAGGGGAUGAGUUGUUUGUCCAUGGGACUCAGUCAACCAGUGCAGAACCAGAAAGUUACCCACAAUGACAUCAAGACAUCGUUCACCUCUUCCAGCUGAGGAGUCUCUUGUUCUCAUCACUAAUCAUGGUGGACUGUUUCCCGUGUUAUCCGAGGGACAGACCAUUGCCUGCUCCAUCCCUGAUGACAAAGGGGCACAGAUCUCCUGGCCACGUCUUUGCUCCGGACAAGUGAAGUCAAUGGGAUUGCAUCCUGCCUCUGAUCAGCUCCAAAGGGUGACAGAUCAGAGGGAGCUCCCAUCUCCUUGCACUGUCCUCAUCUGUCUCCUAUGCUCCUGCCUGGUCUUGCUCCAUCAAGACUUGCCUCCUCAGUUAGUGACUUUUGUUGCCACUUCUGCACUGUUCUGCUGAUGUGAAUGGCACCUGAAUUUCACUGUGUUUGUCCUACUCCUCCUACUCAAACCUUCCUGUUAUGCAGCCAGUGAGACAAGAGCUGAGGGGUACUUUGCAGCAGGAGGGCUUAGUGCAUGGCUCUAAGCAUGUAACCUUGGAUGCUUUCAAGAAUACGAUGAGCUCCUGAAAACUGUCUUUUUUUCAAAAUAAUAUGGGAGGCAAUAGGGUUAGCUCUAUGGAGAGCUCUGAACGUGGAGUUUAUUUGCAUUCAAAACUCACAGUGUGGUUUACUCCAAGUACACUCAUAAGAUUUCUGAAAG
Molecule: long non-coding RNA, 938 nt
Organism: Gallus gallus (chicken)
Lineage: Eukaryota; Metazoa; Chordata; Aves; Galliformes; Phasianidae
Source: Ensembl